UGCAUAGUUCAGUGGUAGAACAUCUGCUUUGCAUGCAGAAGGUCACAGCCUCUAUUCCUGGCAAUAAUAA
This is a non-coding RNA of Podarcis lilfordi (Lilford's wall lizard), 70 nucleotides long. The record is from the annotation of a GenBank genome assembly. Lineage: Eukaryota; Metazoa; Chordata; Lepidosauria; Squamata; Lacertidae.